RNAcentral lists this ribosomal RNA (875 nucleotides) under uncultured archaeon. Its description in RNAcentral is "bacterial SSU rRNA". It matches the Rfam family "Archaeal small subunit ribosomal RNA", at positions 1 to 855 of the family's 1478-position model. The record is from RNAcentral.
UUCCGGUUGAUCCUGCCGGACCCCACUGCUAUCGGGAUAGGACUAAGACAUGCUAGUCAAGCGCUUUCUAGCUAAUGUGAGAGCGCGGCGUACAGCUCAGUAACACGUGGCCAACCUGCCCUUGGGACGGGAACACCCCCGGGAAACUGGGGUUAAUUCCCGAUAGGUGAAGAAGUCUGGAAUGAUUCUUCGCUCAAAAGACGUUUAUGUCAUGCUCAUAUUCGUCGCCCAGGGAUGGGGCCGCGACCGAUCAGGUAGUUGGUGAGGCAAUGGCUCACCAAGCCUUUUACCGGUGCGGGCCGUGAGAGCGGGAGCCCGGAGAUGGGCACUGAGACAAGGGCCCAGGCCCCACGGGGCGCAGCAGUCGCGAAAAUUUUGCAAUACACGAAAGUGUGGCAGAGCUAACCCGAGUGCCAUCCGCUGAGGAAGGCUUUUACCCAGUAUAAAUAGCUGGGAGAAUAAGGAGAGGGCAAGUCUGGUGUCAGCCGCCGCGGUAAUACCAGCUCUCCGAGUAGUGUGAACGUUUAUUGGGCCUAAAGCAUCCGUAGCUUGCUAGAUAAGUCCUCUGUUAAAUCCACCGAUUCAAUCGUUGGUUUGCGGGGGAUACUGUUUGGCUAGGGGACGGGAGAGGUCGACGGUAUUUCCGGGGUAGGGGUGAAAUCCUAUAAUCCCGGGAGGACCACCAGUGGCGAAGGCUGUCGACUAGAACGCGCCCGACGGUGAGGGAUGAAAGCUGGGGGAGCGAACCGGAUUAGAUACCCGGGUAGUCCCAGCUGUAAACGAUGCAGGCUAGGUGUUUGGGCGGCCACGAGCCGCCCUAGUGCCGCAGGGAAGCUGUUAAGCCUGCCGCCUGGGGAGUACGGCCGCAAGGAAUC